RNAcentral lists this ribosomal RNA (490 nucleotides) under uncultured bacterium. RNAcentral describes it as "partial 16S ribosomal RNA". It matches the Rfam family "Bacterial small subunit ribosomal RNA", at positions 29 to 507 of the family's 1533-position model. The record is from RNAcentral.
AUUGAACGCUGGCGGCAGGCCUAACACAUGCAAGUCGAACGGUAACAGGAAGAAGCUUGCUUCUUUGCUGACGAGUGGCGGACGGGUGAGUAAUGUCUGGGAAACUGCCUGAUGGAGGGGGAUAACUACUGGAAACGGUAGCUAAUACCGCAUAACGUCGCAAGACCAAAGAGGGGGACCUUCGGGCCUCUUGCCAUCGGAUGUGCCCAGAUGGGAUUAGCUAGUAGGUGGGGUAACGGCUCACCUAGGCGACGAUCCCUAGCUGGUCUGAGAGGAUGACCAGCCACACUGGAACGGAGACAGGCUCCGAACCCCUGGGGGGGGCGGCGGGGGGAAAGUUUGCACAUUGGGCGCAGGCUGUAUGCAGCCGUGCGGGGUGUAUAAAGAAGGCUUUGGGGUUUUAAAGUUCUUCCGGGGGGGAGGAAGGGAGAAAAGUAAAUCCCUUCGCUCAUUGAGUUACCCCGAAAAAGAAGCCCGGGCAACCCCCGUG